GCGCAGCAGGCGCGAAAACUUCACACUGUGCGAAAGCACGAUGAGGGAAUCCCAAGUGCUUGCACGUAAGUGUAAGCUGUUUCUCUGUCUAAAACGCAGAGAGAGUAAGGGCUGGGUAAGACGGGUGCCAGCCGCCGCGGUAAUACCUGCAGCUCAAGUGGUGACCGUUAUUAUUGGGCCUAAAACGUCCGUAGCCGGUUUAAUAAAUGCCUGGGUAAAUUGUGUAGCUUAACUAUACGAAUUCCGGGUAGACUGUUAAACUUGAGACCGGGAGAAGUUAGAGGUACUCCUGGGGUAGAGGUGAAAUUCUGUAAUCCUAGGGGGACCACCAGUGGCGAAGGCGUCUAACUAGAACGGGUCUGACGGUGAGGGACGAAGCCCUGGGGCGCAAACGGGAUUAGAUA
This 404-nucleotide ribosomal RNA is filed under the name uncultured microorganism. RNAcentral describes it as "bacterial SSU rRNA". It matches the Rfam family "Archaeal small subunit ribosomal RNA", at positions 330 to 735 of the family's 1478-position model. The record is from RNAcentral.